This 461-nucleotide ribosomal RNA is filed under the name Funneliformis geosporum. RNAcentral's name for it is "LSU rRNA". It matches the Rfam family "Eukaryotic large subunit ribosomal RNA", at positions 358 to 668 of the family's 3401-position model. The record is from RNAcentral. Lineage: Eukaryota; Fungi; Glomeromycota; Glomeromycetes; Glomerales; Glomeraceae.
GGAAAGAUGAAAAGAACUUUGAAAAGAGAGUUAAACAGUACGUGAAAUUGUUGAAAGGGAAACGAUUGAAGUCAGUCAUACCAACGGGAAAUCAACCUUUUGAGUUCGUUCUUGUGGGUUUCGAGGAGUUUAAAAGCCUUCUGAUUUGCUAGGAUUGGGCGCUUUUGGUGUACUUUCUCGUACGGUUAGUCAACAUCGGUUUUGAAUGUCAUAAAAUGACUGGAGGAAUGUGGCUUCGAUCUCGCAUCGAAGUGUUAUAACCUUUGGUAGAUGUGAUGUUCGAGACCGAGGAUUGCAACGGAUACCUUUCUGGGCUAUUCGUCUGAUCUCUGAUACGUUGCCUUGAUGUCGAAAGCGUGCUUACGAUGUUAGGGUAUUACGGUCAAAAGGUUAGAACGGAUUAAAUUCGUUAAGGAUGUUGACGUAAUGACUUUAAACGACCCGUCUUGAAACACGGACCA